UACGAAGGGGGCUAGCGUUGCUCGGAAUCACUGGGCGUAAAGGGUGCGUAGGCGGGGCUUUAAGUCAGGGGUGAAAUCCUGGAGCUCAACUCCAGAACUGCCUUCGAUACUGGAAAGCUCGAGUCCGGGAGAGGUGAGUGGAACUGCGAGUGUAGAGGUGAAAUUCGUAGAUAUUCGCAAGAACACCAGUGGCGAAGGCGGCUCACUGGCCCGGUACUGACGCUGAGGUGCGAAAGCGUGGGGAGCAAACAGG
This 253-nucleotide ribosomal RNA is filed under the name uncultured bacterium. RNAcentral describes it as "partial 16S ribosomal RNA". It matches the Rfam family "Bacterial small subunit ribosomal RNA", at positions 524 to 776 of the family's 1533-position model. The record is from RNAcentral.